This 567-nucleotide ribosomal RNA is filed under the name uncultured bacterium. Its description in RNAcentral is "partial 16S ribosomal RNA". It matches the Rfam family "Bacterial small subunit ribosomal RNA", at positions 355 to 902 of the family's 1533-position model. The record is from RNAcentral.
UGGGGAAUUUUGGACAAUGGGCGAAAGCCUGAUCCAGCAAUGCCGCGUGUGUGAAGAAGGCCUUCGGGUUGUAAAGCACUUUUGUCCGGAAAGAAAUCCUUGGCUCUAAUACAGUCGGGGGAUGACGGUACCGGAAGAAUAAGCACCGGCUAACUACGUGCCAGCAGCCGCGGUAAUACGUAGGGUGCAAGCGUUAAUCGGAAUUACUGGGCGUAAAGCGUGCGCAGGCGGUUUGCUAAGACCGAUGUGAAAUCCCCGGGCUCAACCUGGGAACUGCAUUGGUGACUGGCAGGCUAGAGUAUGGCAGAGGGGGGUAGAAUUCCACGUGUAGCAGUGAAAUGCGUAGAGAUGUGGAGGAAUACCGAUGGCGAAGGCAGCCCCCUGGGCCAAAUACUGACUCCAUGCAAUGCCGAAACGGCAAGCGGGUGGAGCCAAAACAAGGAUUAGAUACCCUGGUAGUCCACGCCCUAAACGAUGUCAACUAGUUGUUGGGGAUUCAUUUCCUUAGUAACGUAGCUAACGCGUGAAGUUGACCGCCUGGGGAGUACGGUCGCAAGAUUAAAACUC